CUAAUGUCGCAUUCAAAGAAAUUUUUAAAAAUUAUUUCAAAUAUUGGGGUUCAAUUGUCGGUGGAGUUCUUCUGUCGGCAACUCAGCCAAACUAGCAACUACCAAUUACCCUUGUUAGAUGUCGCUGGCAUCGCUUUGUUUUCUUGUCACGUCAAAAGUUCUUGCUGCUUUUCAUGCUGCUUUCUUCGUGAUUUUCUUUAUGUUUUGGGAAUAAAUUCAACGCCGUUUAAAAUGAGAAAACGUGUUGAAAGCGUCGUGCAGCUUACUGCUGUCAACCAUUUAUGUGUUCAAAAUCAUUGUAUUCUACUGAAGGUGGCAUCAAAAUGAAACAGGAUUCAUCAUAAUUGUCUGCUGUUUGUAUUGGACUUGCUAAAUCGCCAAUCCCAGCCAUGCCCUGAUUUUGAGUGUUCUUCAUUACAGGUUUCUAACACAUUGGCAUGACAGAUUUGAUGAGAAGUCAUAUUUAGAAGGAAAAGGACAAGAACCAUACAGUCAACAAGGUUCCUUGUUUGCUAACCCGUUGGCUGCUACCCUUCAAUCUCCCUGUUUACUUUCUUACACAGGUCCUAUUGAUUUGAGGGUAACUCUUUCGCUACUGAUGACAUCAACUGUUAUAAACUGACGAGAGAAUGCUGCAAUUCAAGACUGAUGCAUUGUGUAGUUGUUAGAUAAAUUGCAAGUGCAUAUCUGGGCUCCCUUCUUUUCUGUGGCCCCGUUUCCC
RNAcentral lists this long non-coding RNA (721 nucleotides) under Daphnia pulex (common water flea). Its description in RNAcentral is "uncharacterized LOC124190713, transcript variant X1". The record is from RNAcentral. Lineage: Eukaryota; Metazoa; Arthropoda; Branchiopoda; Diplostraca; Daphniidae.